This 200-nucleotide ribosomal RNA is filed under the name uncultured Glomus. RNAcentral describes it as "partial small subunit ribosomal RNA". It matches the Rfam family "Eukaryotic small subunit ribosomal RNA", at positions 591 to 789 of the family's 1831-position model. Lineage: Eukaryota; Fungi; Glomeromycota; Glomeromycetes; Glomerales; Glomeraceae. The record is from RNAcentral.
CCAAUAGCGUAUAUUAGUGUUGUUGCGGUUAAAAAGCUCGUAGUUGAAUUUCGGGAUUGGGGAUAUAUCGGUCGUGCCUUUAGGGGCAUGAAUCAGUGUGUGGCCAAUUCUCACCUUCUGGUGAAUUGGGAUGCUCUCGGGUGUUUCAAUGAACUAGGACUUUUACUUUGAAAAAAUUAGAGUGUUUAAAGCGGGCAUUU